UCACGAAAGUGGGCUGUACUAGAAGUCGUCGCGCUGACCGCAAGGAGGCAGACGCCCAAGGUAUGGCUCAUGAUUGGGGUG
RNAcentral lists this ribosomal RNA (81 nucleotides) under uncultured bacterium. Its description in RNAcentral is "partial 16S ribosomal RNA". The record is from RNAcentral.